AUAAACAUACAAAAGUAAAAUGGAAGAAAGAGAAGACAAUAACUAACUAAGUAAGAGAUAGAAGGACAACUGUUCGUCGAUAGAGCAAUCAACAUGACACGUGGCGCGACAGGAAGGAGGAAUGAGAAUGAGGCCAAGGCACCUCUGUUCGAGGGGAGAGGGAGAGGAUCGGCGAGUGGUACGAUACUCGACGGCAUCCUGGAGAAUGAUGUUGCCCAAGAAGAAUCUUCCAUCCUUGAUCCCCACCAGCAUUCGCCGAAACAGCAGCUUCCUCGCCCGCCGAACCGCAUCCGACCCUUCUCCAACUGCUUCUUCUUCCAUCGCCCCCAACCACACACUAUUUAGGUUUUCAACUAAAACAGAACGUCAAAACCAUGACUUCCCCUAGGCCCCUAUAUCUGUAUAUCAUGCUUCUUUUCGCAAAUUUCAUACAACUCCCUUAACAACUUUACAAUUACCUGUAUGUAAAACCAAAAAAUGGAUUAAUAGCGGGGUAUUAUAGUAAAACAACAAAAUAAAGGAGGAAGAAAAGGUGAAUAGAUCUUGCCCUGCCUCCUAGAGAGAUUCUCAGAGAAACAAGAAAUCGAGUGCGUUCCUCGGCGAAAUUCGAAACAUCAGGGCUUCAACUAGCUUCGCUUCUUCUUCAUCAUCAUCUUAUCUUAUAUCUAUUAAUCAGAUUGUUGUCACAAGGGUGGCAUGGGAGAAGAAGUUUGGUGAAAAGAGCUGGCGCGACACUGCAGCGGUUGUUGGCCACCGUUGGGGGAGAAUUGGCCUCUUGAGAGAUUCGUAACAGUCGCAGUUAUAAAGGAAGAAGGUUUCACGACUUAGGGUUUUAAAAGGGCUGUUUUUCUCACUUGGGAUUUUAUGGCCAGUUGAAAUUGGGUUACUUUAAAUAUAUAACCGAGUUUAUUUUUUGGACUCUACUUCAAUCUUAGACUCAAUAAAAUCUAAAUAUUUUUGUGCCCCAA
This is a long non-coding RNA of Arachis duranensis, 968 nucleotides long. RefSeq lists it as uncharacterized. Lineage: Eukaryota; Viridiplantae; Streptophyta; Magnoliopsida; Fabales; Fabaceae. The transcript has 2 exons. The record is from RefSeq and is a predicted model, not a curated record.